UGCACCGCGCGGGCCAGAUGCAGCCGGACAUCAAGCCCCGGCCUUCACUGACACGGGCAACCUGAGGUACUGCAGCACGCGGUCGACCGCGUCCAGGCGCCAUGGACUGCACCGGCGCCGGCGACCCCUCCUCCUCCUCGUUCCCCAUCAUCAAGGCCUCUUUCCACCAUCCCCUUCUGAACGAGCCACCGCAGGAGAUCGACGCUGGCGUCCUCUUCCCUGCACCACAAGGUCGACCCGCCGGUGGUUACCCUGAUUGGCAUCCUGUGGCAGGCCGAGGCACGGCGAUGUGUUGUCAUGCUGCCGGCGGCGUUCACGAUCACGACAUGCUGCUGGAGCGCACCUCACCAAUCUCAUGCUCCCGGUGAUGGUCUCUACUACUCCUAGAAGUAUAUUUCCUGGAAUUUGUUCUUUCAUUUUUGUAAAGUAGUAGUACCGGAAUCGUGCAUGUAUAAUGGAAAUCGGUAUGUGCAUAGGCAGUGGAUGCAUAGGAAACGAAUAUUCUCAUUUUGCUCUAAAAAUGUGCAGCAGCUCUCACAUUAAUUUGCUCCAUAUCCGUGGUGUAUAUUGAAUUUUCAAGUUCUUUUGUUGCUCCUGUAUUUGGUGUAUCUAUCAGUGGUUAUUGGAUCAAGAGGCUCCCUGGUUAGGAACAAGCAUUGCUGCGCCAAUAUCAUUGUAUAAUCCUAAUGCUGGAAUACUGACUGAUUGAUCAAUUUAAUAACCCAUUGGUUAGGAUUAUGCUAUGCUGGUAGUAGCAGGAUUUAUAUUUAACUUUGCUGGUAGUAGCUACUGACUUAAGUUUGGUAGAUUAAAUACUGCUAGUUACUGUCUUUAGAAAAAUACCCUUUGUGUUAUUUCCCUUGCUGUCUCAUGUGUUUACUUAUGUGGUCUUCAGUUCACCAGAUUCUGCAAGUACUAACUAAUUAUUUAUCUAGUUUGAUUGUUUUGCUGCUCAUAUAGUUGAUUUUUGUGCAUGGUGUAGCACCUAGUUUCACGACGGAUAGUUUAUAUGCUUGGCCUUGGUAAGCCGUAAUAAUAGUGACUGAGCUGAACACACCAGUCCAUCUGUAUUGACUUGUAUAUACCCAGUUGCAGUAUCUGACUCGCCCGCUAACAUCAUAUGUUUCUUGACAAGUUGUGCUACAGCUCGGGAAUUGGGAUCAUGAAGACCUGACCACAGAUCUACUGUUCACUAUUGUGGCUCUCAGCUCAGGUGUAUUUACUAGGUCUAGCUAUUUAUCUGCUGACUGGGUAUGUUCAGUAUCCAUUUGUCAAGUUAGGAUCAUCAUGUUAUCAUGAUUUUUAAAUUUGUAUGCCUGAUAAGCCAAGGUUGUAAUAAACUACAGAUCUAGCCGCAGUUUUAGAUGCUUAAAAUGAAUGUUCCUAUGAAUGCUAAAGAUAUAGCAUGAAAAAUCCUGAUUGUAUUCUGGUCAUGAGUCAGCACUCCAAAAUCCUAGUAAUAUUCAGUUUGAAUGCAUCAUUUGCUUGGUAUUGUUUUAUACAACUGCCUCUUUGAGACACUUAACUAUAUAUGAGGAUGAAUUAUGUUCAGGAGAAGUUUUGAUAAAUUAUUUUGCCUAUUCUGAUGCUAAUAAAAUGAUGCUAAUAGAUUUCGUCUUGUUGCAUUGAUCUAGGUUUCAUCAAGGUAGUAAUAAUGAGGCCAGCUGCUCUGUAUUUUUCUUUUGUGAAGAUGGCUGAAGGGCGACAGUGGACUGUUCAUACUGUUAUUUUGUUAGCCGAGUGUACCAAAUGGCACGGCCUGGUACUGUCUAUUGUUGUCUAAUGAGUGUUGCAUAACCAUUACUGAAACAUUGUUGAGAGAGCAUGCACAAAGCUCAGAUCCAAAGCAGCCGAUGGUCUCCAGGAAAUGGUGAAUUGCUUGAGGUCCUAUAGCUUGUGUUGGAGGAAGCCUACAUGUGGCCAGUGUUGCCGCUUACAGAGUUUUGGACAUGGUCAAUGAGUGCAGGACAUGAGGUCAGAGGCUGCUCAAAUGGUGACAAUGAUGCUGCCCAAAUUUGGCAUCAUGUAGAAUGCCAUCAAGAUGAAGUUGAACACCGAACUAGUGAUGAAUACAGGACAAGAUUCCGAAGAGGCGUUGGUUGUUGGGAGGGGAGAUAAAUACAGGACAAUGGACGUGCUACUAUCUUCUGCGAGCAACAUCAGAGAAGGGCUGCCCAGCUGCAUCAUUCUACCCAUCUUUGGGCUUGCACUCAGCCGCAAGAUAUGACACGUGAAAUCCUGCUCAGCAAAAACAGUAUUAGUAUUUACAUUAUAUGAUGUAACGGGAAACUUGUCUUGCUGUUAUUUGAAGCAUCACGUGUGGUUUUGUAGCUGUUAUUUGAAGUAUUAUGUGCGUUUUCUAUCUGGUCAACUUUAAAUAUUUUUAUA
Lolium perenne is the source of this 2388-nucleotide long non-coding RNA. RefSeq lists it as uncharacterized. The record is from RefSeq and is a predicted model, not a curated record. NCBI's taxonomy places the organism in Eukaryota, Viridiplantae, Streptophyta, Magnoliopsida, Poales, Poaceae.